ACUAUACCGAUGCAAGUACCUUUUGCAAAUGGUCGCAUGUAGUUGUGCACAUGGAGGAGAGAAUCAUUUUCGCAGUAUCCUCUAAACCGUGUCUUUUUGGCACAACUGCUGACAGCUACAUAAACACAAAAAAUGCUGGUUAGGGGCAAGUGUCCACGAUAGUAGGAUUGCCAGGUCAGUUUAGUAGUGAUGUUGUGCUAGAUGUGGCUAGUUAGCGUUAGCUAGCUAGCUAACAUAGCCAAUGAGGUGUGUGUGUGAAAUAAAUAGUCAAAUAAAUGAUGCUAGUUACUACCCCUGAUACCUUUACCAAAUAAUCAUGUUUGAAAGAGUGUGAGUGUGUAUGCUAGAUAAAUAGUAAUAGAAAUGGUAGAUACUACUGUACCCCUGAUAAUUUGGUGAGAUAACCGUGUGUGUGUCUAUGUGUACAGUAGGUGACAUGUCCAUGAUAGCUAUCUAAUAACUAUAGUUAGGCUAGGUAAUGGUUUGGCUUAUCAUGUUCAUGUCUAUGUAGAAGAAGACUGUAGGAGGAAGUGGAGAGGACUCGGGGACAGGUAUCAGAGAGAGAGAAGGGCAGAGAAAGACAAGAUGUCUGGGUCAGCAGCUUCAGGCCAGCAGCCUUGGCGCGCGCUUCUGACACAUUCUUUUCUGGAUCCAUUUAUUGUGCCUAUGGCAACGAGUGGCAAUUUUACAGCCAGACCCUCUACUACGUCAUCCACAAGUGUUGUCGCCACCGGUGCAUCAAGACCCUCAACGUCGCCUACAAAUGCAACCAUCACCUCCACCAGAGGAGUGAGACCCUCUACAACAUCAUCCACGAGUAUGACCACUACCGGUGCAUCAAGACCCUCAACGUCACCUACAAAUGCAACCAUCACCUCCACCGGAGGAGUGAGACCCUCUACAACAUCAUCCACGAGUAUGACCACCACCAGUGCAGCCAUGGAAGAUGAUGAAAUGGAGGUAGAAUAUCUAGAUCUAAGACCACCUGAGAUUAAUAUGAACCUCACGGAAGUGACCGCUGAGGACCUCGUUGAACAGGAUGUGGCCGUGGAGAGAAACAGAGAGUGAAACGAAGAGGAACAACGUCACACCAGGCGUCAUCGGAGGUACCAGCCUCCAGAUCCACUCAACUAAUUUCAGCAGAGACUCUCCUCCAAGCCGUUGAGAGGGAUGCAGCCCAACCUGAUGCCCACAGGAAGGAGGAUGAAGAGACCCUCUUUGCCAUGAGCCUGGUGCCAACACUGAAGAGGCUGCCUCAGCAAAGAAAAGCAGCAGUCAAGGUUAAAAUGCUUUUCGAAGCCGAGUUCAAUGAAAUGGAGUCCGUUUAGCCGACCAGCUCACAGGAAGGACAGGAAGAGGAGAGGAGUUGUCUGGUUGUUGUUUUUACCUCCCUCGUUGUACCUUUCUUUUCACACACGCCAGUUCUGUUUAAAUUCAGUCAAUUCAUAAAGUCAUUUGUUUAUAAAGA
Long non-coding RNA from Oncorhynchus tshawytscha (Chinook salmon), 1468 nucleotides. RefSeq lists it as uncharacterized. NCBI's taxonomy places the organism in Eukaryota, Metazoa, Chordata, Actinopteri, Salmoniformes, Salmonidae. The record is from RefSeq and is a predicted model, not a curated record. The transcript has 2 exons.